RNAcentral lists this ribosomal RNA (253 nucleotides) under uncultured bacterium. Its description in RNAcentral is "partial 16S ribosomal RNA". It matches the Rfam family "Bacterial small subunit ribosomal RNA", at positions 524 to 776 of the family's 1533-position model. The record is from RNAcentral.
UACGAAGGGGGCGAGCGUUGUUCGGAAUUACUGGGCGUAAAGGGCGCGCAGGCGGCUCUGCAAGUCAGAUGUGAAAGCCCCGGGCUUAACCUGGGAAUUGCAUUUGAUACUCUGGAGCUUGAGUACGGGAGAGGAGAGUGGAAUUCCCAGUGUAGAGGUGAAAUUCGUAGAUAUUGGGAAGAACACCGGUGGCGAAGGCGGCUCUCUGGACCGUAACCGACGCUGAGGCGCGAAAGCGUGGGGAGCAAACAGG